This 253-nucleotide ribosomal RNA is filed under the name uncultured bacterium. Its description in RNAcentral is "partial 16S ribosomal RNA". It matches the Rfam family "Bacterial small subunit ribosomal RNA", at positions 524 to 776 of the family's 1533-position model. The record is from RNAcentral.
UACAGAGGGUGCAAGCGUUAAUCGGAAUUACUGGGCGUAAAGCGUGCGUAGACGGUUAUGUAAGUCGGGUGUGAAAGCCCCGGGCUCAACCUGGGAAUUGCAUUCGGGACUGCAAGGCUGGAGUGCGGCAGAGGAGACUGGAAUUCCUGGUGUAGCAGUGAAAUGCGUAGAUAUCAGGAGGAACACCGGUGGCGAAGGCGGGUCUCUGGGCCGAUACUGACGCUGAGGUGCGAAAGCGUGGGGAGCAAACAGG